UUUAGGGGCGUACCCACGGCAUAUGGAGGUUCCCAGGCUAGGGGUCGAAUCAGAGCUACAGCUGCCGGCCUACACCACAGCCACAGCCACACGGGAUCCAAGCCAUGUCUGCAACCUACGCCAUAGCUCACGGCAACGCCACAUUCUUAACCCACUGCAUGAGGCCAGGGAUCGAACCCGCAUCCUCAUGGUUCCUUUGUUACCACCGAGCUACAACUUUACCACUUCAAAUAAAAGAAAAAAAAAUUAUUUUUUUUCUUUUAUUUGAACUCCUGCUUUACCACUUCAAAUGAUGAUGUUUCUAAGAGGCAGCUGACUCCUGUACCGAUACGCUUACCUUCCGCCCCACACUUAUCUGUGUUGGAAUCCUGGCUCUGCUGGGUGAGUUGGGGCUUUACUUCUGUUUCUUCAUGUGCAAAGGGAGGAUGUUUCUUUAUGUGCAAAGUUACCCCAUAAGGUUGUUGGGAAGAAUGGAUUAAUAUAUAUAUAAUGCCUCUAAGCACCUAGGUGUAACAAGACUCUGUGUAUGUACUAGCUCAUAUGGCUUUAUCUCUGCACUUUUUUUCUCUCCUUAAAUGAAUCCUCAAUAUAUUAGCUGUCAGCUAUAUUCUCACCUUGAACACUCCAGGGAAUAAAGUACAGACUCUAGGGAUACAAGCCCUCGGCCCUUCUCCCCACCACCCCGCUGACCUAACCCAGGAUCUGCCUCUCAGUCCAGGACUAAAACAUGGUGGAGGACAGAAUUCAUACCAUUCCGUGAAGCCUGUAUAGAAGCCCUCAGCCGGCCCCCUCCAGGGGAAGCUCCUUCAAGCCAGGCAAGGUGAGCCCUUUCUGAGCAGCCUCCCAGAAACAUUAACGCUAAAUUGAAAGCUCUCUCCGAGGGACGCACUGCAUUGCAUGCUGGCUGUUACUCUCCCCCUUAACCACCUCACCCCUACCUGCACCAGUGCGUGAGAAUCACCUGAUGAGAAUGCAGAGUCCUAAACCCACCCUGAGAUUCUGACUCACUAGCUGGGGUAGGACCCCAGGAGAGGCCACAGACCACACUCUGGGAAGCCUGCUAUUCAAGGCAGAGAUGUCUCACCUUGUGCCAGCUAUUAGAGCAGGACCUUUGUACCUCCAGCACAUGACAACCAGACCUUGCACAUAGUAGCUGCUUAAUAAAUUAUCAUUACAUGAAUGAGAGUGGGAGGAAUAACACCGGUCCUUGAUGGGUGAGAAUAACAAUCUCUUGCCCAACAUCCAGAGAGGUGCAAAUCCAGCAAAGAAAGCUCACAAGUCCAAAUUUUUAAGAGGUUUUCCUCUGAAGGAGUCCCAGGUACAAAGAAUGUGCAAGACAAAGUUUCAACUGCUACAUAUAAUUGUUUAAAUCAUCCUUCAUCCUAGAUAGAGAGAUUCUUUUGACUGAAGGGAGCCAUGGGUCAUUAUUGCCUUAAGCUGGUCACUGACAUCUGAACUAAUUAACUUGUCACGCAUUAAUUGCAAAGUGACUGAAAAAAACAAGCAGCUUCUGUGUUCCUGAUCUUUUUUCUCUGCUUUCUUUGUAGUUUACUUUCUAAGUAGUAAGGCCCUUCUGCGAGAGUUUGUGAUGCUCCGAAUCUCAAUUAAAAUACCAAAUGGCAUUCGUCUUAACCAAAAACACACUUUGAUGUUUAAAAGUCAUUCAAAUUCGUCAUGAUAGUUAUCCUCACCGAUCUUUAAGGACUCAACACACGUUCAUGGUAUCUUUCUGCCAAAGGAGAAGAAGCAUCGCUAAAAUGACCAAAAGUACCUCUUGUCUUCCAGGCUAUUACUUACAUGUGUGUGCGCGCCCUCAGCAGAUUUCAUUGAAAAGAACCUGAUCCUAAAGCUGUUCUUUUCCAGUCAGCAGUGCCGACUCCAGGGUCCAUUAUUAUCGCCAAUACAUCAUUUCGAAUCACUUAACCUUUCUGCAUUCUGUAUAUCCAAAAAACUGAGACCAGUGAAUGAACAAUGCUUGUCAGUUCUUUUGUGGGGACACAGGAAAAAGAAAUGAGGUAAUGCUAAGCAAGUCCAGCUCUAUCUAAUCGCAUGGACAAAGGAGCUAUGCAAAACAUCUCCUUACUGGCUGGACAGAUGGGGCUUCUGAAAAUUGAAAGAUGAGCAUAGAAAGUAAGGAGAAGAGAUGCUCAAAGUCUAAGUCCACAGAAGAAAGAGCCGUGACUGGAUAGGGGAAACUGAAGGAAUAAAGCUAAGAUGAAGGGCUCACUAAGAUGAAGCAUUCAUAGGGAAAAGGCACGCCAAUGGAAAAGUAAUUCUCACAAGUUGCUAACAAAAGCAAUUUAGUGUAUUAACUUUCAGGCAAACGCCAGGUAUUCUAAAGUAAGCUUUGAUGGGAAGGUUAAUUUGUCAUGAUUCUAUUUUGGCAGGGAGGGCAAGGCAGAGGAGAGGAACGCUAGUUACACAGCUCAUGGUGAAAACGCAGGAUUGCUUGCACUCUACUGAUUCUUUUUUCGGACUGAGUCAACCUGAAAAGUAGGCAUUUCUGGGAUUAUAGCCAGGCCACCAUGACAGGAAGCUGUGACCCCAGAAAUUCCAGGUGGGUCUCCAUAAAAGCUAAUACCAGAAUAACAUAAUGCCCCCUCUCAGUUGGGAAAAAAGUAAUUAUUACUGCUCAGAUGUGAAGGGGAGAAAAGCAGUACUUUUUAUUGAGCAUCUAUUUGCCAGGGGCUUAUCUGAUGGACUUUGCUUGUGCUAUUUCAUUUAAUGCUCAAAUAUGAACAAAGUUCACUAUACGGAGCAUAUACUAUGUGGUAAGCUCUGUACCAAGUGUUUUGAUUUUAUUUCAUCUUUAAACAAUCAGGAAUCAGAUAUUGUUAUUAUUCCUGAUAUACAAAUGAAGAGAAUGAGGCUCCGAAUAAAGGCAAAUAACCUGCCCAAGGUCAUGUGAUUAAUAAAAGAUCCAUGGAUAAACUACAGGUCUAUGUGACUUCAACUCUCAUAUUUAUACUAAACCUAUAUGCAGAAAGUAAAAAAAUCCAAUAAUUAUUUUCUAUUAAAAUAUAAAUCUUGGAAGUUCCCUUUUGGUACAGUGGGUUAAGAAUCCAAUGUUGUCAGCUGUGGCUCAGGCUACAACGGCAGUGUGGGUUUGAUCCCUAGCCCAGGAACUUCCACAUGCUGCAGAUGUGGGGGGGGGAAUUUAUAUAUAUAUAUAUAUAUAUGUAUAAACAGAUACAGAUAUCUUAACAUUUCAGUUCCCUCCUCUUUUUCUUUUUCUUUUUCUUUUUUUUUUUUUUUUUUGUCUUUUUGCUAUUUCUUUGGGCCGCUCCCGUGGCAUAUGGAGGUUUCCAGGCUAGGGGUCAGAUCGGAGCUGUAGCCUCCGGCCUACGCCAGAGCCACAGCAACGUGGGAUCCGAGCCGCGUCUGCAACCUACACCACACCUCACGGAUCCUUAACCCACUGAGCAAGGGCAGGGACCGAACCCACAAUCUCAUGGUUCCUAGUUGGAUUCGUUAACCAUUGCGUCACGAUGGGAACUCCCUUCAGUUCCCUCCUCUUAUACUUAUGUAUUUAUAAUGAAAAAGAAAACACUCUAAAUAUCCAUAAAUAGGGAACUAGAUAAAUUAUGUUACAUUAAAAUGCAAUAAGAUCUUUUUUUUUUUUUUUUUGUCUUUUUAGGGCCGCACCCGCAACAUAUGGAGGUUCCCAGGCUAGGGGUUGAAUCGGAGCUGUAGCUGCCGGCCUACGCCAGAGCCACAGCAACACCAGAUCUGAGCCACGUCUGUGACCUACACCACAGCUCACGGCAAUGCUGGAUCCUUAAUCCACUGAGUGAGGCCAGGGAUUGAACCAUAACCUCUUGGUUCCCAGUCAGAUUCAUUUCCGCUGCGCCACGACAGGAACUGCUAAAAUGCUAUAAGAUCUUUUAAAAGAAUAAACCAACUGUAUGUACUUAGACUAAUCAAAAAGUUGAUGUGGGGAACUUCUUUGUACACAAUCCCAGGCAAUAAAUGCAAAAAAGAAAUGGAAAAUCAUUUUGCAACCGUUAAUGGAAUAAUGGACUGAGGCAGUAAUAAUCUCUGGAUGCCAAAAACUGUAGAUAAAAUGUUCAUGGGAAACUUUAUAAUGGCAGAGCAGGUUCA
RNAcentral lists this long non-coding RNA (4101 nucleotides) under Sus scrofa (pig). RNAcentral's name for it is "lncRNA (ENSSSCG00015006814.1)". Lineage: Eukaryota; Metazoa; Chordata; Mammalia; Artiodactyla; Suidae. The record is from RNAcentral.